AUACACCCAUUUCUGAAUAAACCCUUCAGGUUAAAAGUGUUGAAUUCCUAAAAUGUUGAAUUCUCAUAAUGUUGGAUUCGCAAAAUGUU
This is a long non-coding RNA of Maniola jurtina (meadow brown), 89 nucleotides long. RefSeq lists it as uncharacterized. The record is from RefSeq and is a predicted model, not a curated record. Lineage: Eukaryota; Metazoa; Arthropoda; Insecta; Lepidoptera; Nymphalidae. The transcript has 3 exons.